CUCUUGUGUUUUGCUGGUUUAUCAAAUCCUUUGAUGGCUCAAGGAAGAUGUUAUUGACUUAGCAAUUCGGAAAAUAUCAAUUCCUUAUAUACAGCUGGUAGAGGAAAAUGUAAAUAUUUUUAACAAGCAAUAAAGAAUCAUCAUUUUCCUAGAGGUGGCUUAUGGUGUCUUAUAAAUGAUUAAUAACUGGAAUGACUCAGAGAGGUUUGAUGAAGAGUAGAAAAUCAUGGAGAAAUUUGAUUGGAUGAAGGGCAUGUGAUCUAAUGGAGUAAACUGGAGAAAACUCAGCAAGGCUUGUUGGUUCCGAUUCUCCUCUGUGACCCUUUGUCUUCAGAGAGUCUCCCUCUGUCACCCAGGCUAAAGUGCAGUAGCAGGAUCUCUGCUCAUUGCAACGUCUGCCUCCUGAGUUCAAGUGAUUCUCCUGCCUCGGCCUUCUGAGUAGCUGGGAUUACAGGUGAGCACCACUAUGCCAGGCUAAUUCUUGUAUUUUUAGUAGAGACAGGGUUUUGCCAUGUUGACCAGGCUGUUCUCAGACUCCUGACCGCAGGUAAUCGCCCUCCUUGGCCUCCCACAGUUCUGGGAUUACAGGCAUGAGCCACCACAUCCGGUGAGAUCUGAUUGUUUAAAAGUUUUGCAGCACCUCUCACUUCACUCUAUUCUUCCUUCCCCAGCCAUGUAAGACAAUCCUGCUUCCCUUUUGCCUUCUACCAUGAUUUUAAGUUUCCUGCGACCGCCCCAGCCAUGCUUCCUGUAAAGCCUGCAGAACUGUGAGUCAAUUACAUCACUUCUCUUUAUGAAUUACCCAGUCUCAGGUAGUUCUUUGUAGCAAUGCAAGAACAGACUGAUACAAGUACAUUAUAGCCAACAAAGUACUUGUGUUCAUUAUUUUAUUCUUUUAUACAAUUGUUUUCCUUUAUCCAUGAGGGACAUCUUCCAAGACCCCCAGUGGAUGUCUGAAACUGCAGAGAGUACCAAAUCCUAUAU
Molecule: long non-coding RNA, 984 nt
Filed under: Callithrix jacchus (white-tufted-ear marmoset)
Lineage: Eukaryota; Metazoa; Chordata; Mammalia; Primates; Cebidae
Description: lncRNA (ENSCJAG00000085258.1)
Source: RNAcentral